This 1103-nucleotide long non-coding RNA is filed under the name Mytilus galloprovincialis (Mediterranean mussel). Lineage: Eukaryota; Metazoa; Mollusca; Bivalvia; Mytilida; Mytilidae. The record is from RNAcentral.
AAGAAAAAAAAAUUAUUUUGCAUUAAAAUACAAAUUUUGGUGGGAAAAUGGUGAAAUUGGUUGAAAUGUCAUUUUGAGCCUUUUACAGUUUCACAUAAGAACAUUAAUAUUUUUUAGUAACCUAACUACCCUAACUACAAUGAUUUAACAUUUCUAAUCAAUCAAAAUAUUUUUAAAAAUGAAAUGGAAUAUAUGACACAUACUCUUUGUGUGCAUUGUAAUUCAUGCGUGAAAUUAUGCGUAGUAGAAAAGUCCCAAUCCACCUUAAUACUUAUCACUUUGGUUCAAUUUCAAAACUCAGCUCAUCAUAUUCUAUUCACUAAAAGUUGAGCAUGAACUUUUUCUCUAUUCUAUUAGUUGUUGACAAUAGAAAACCUUUUAAUUUUUUAAAUACCACUCAUAUUCUAAAUCAAAUCUGUCCAUCUAUACUAUCAAGCACUUUGAUUUAUUUAAAUCAUGCUUCAAUAGGUCUUAAAAUAAAAAUGUAUAUCAGGUUCUAUAAUCUAGACAUAUACAGAAGGAAAAGAAUUACAACUAUAAUGAUAUUCAAGUAUAAAUAUUCAGAGCAACACAUAAAUUUGGUUUUAAAUCAUAAAAUACACAGGAAAAUUAUCAUUCAAUAAUCUUAUAUGUUUAUAUUUUUAAAAGCUUAAUUGUCCUGCAUAUGCAUGAAUUAUUUUUAACUGGACAUCAAGCUUGCAGCAAUUAAUCAAAUAUUUAAAAUGAAAAGGCUGUAAUGGACAUUAUUCAGCUUGGCAAAAUAUCACAAUUUAAUCAAUUUUUUACUUGAUAAUGAAUGUACAAUGACAUUUCUUGUGCUCUUUGAAAUUUUAAUAGAAGGCAUACUGACUAGGUCAGACUUGAUGGUUGUUCAUAUAUACGAUUUUUAUCUAUUUUAAAGUCAGUAAAAUCUUUAUAUCAAGCUUUAGAUGGUAUAUGAUUUUAUAUUUUACCAUUUUUCAUUUACAUGAGGUUGUGUUUAAGUUUGAUAAUCAAAUUUUUGUACAGAUUGAUAGGUUUAAAUGUUGAUUUUUAUUUUCCAGAUUUUAGAAUUGUUAACAUAUCAUAUCAUUUGAUCAUUUUUCAGUUGUUAUAUCAAGAUU